GACGAACCGUGCGAACGUUGUUCGGAAUCACUGGGCUUAAAGGGCGUGUAGGCGGUCAGGUAAGUGGGAUGUGAAAUGCCCCGGCUCACCCGGGGACCGGCAUCCCAUACUGCUUGGCUUGAGUACGGGAGAGGAUGUGGGAAUUCCUGGUGUAGCGGUGAAAUGCGUAGAUAUCAGGAGGAACACCGGUGGCGAAGGCGCACAUCUGGCCCGAUACUGACGCUGAGGCGCGAAAGCUAGGGGAGCAAACGGG
This 253-nucleotide ribosomal RNA is filed under the name uncultured bacterium. Its description in RNAcentral is "partial 16S ribosomal RNA". It matches the Rfam family "Bacterial small subunit ribosomal RNA", at positions 524 to 776 of the family's 1533-position model. The record is from RNAcentral.